RNAcentral lists this ribosomal RNA (254 nucleotides) under uncultured bacterium. RNAcentral's name for it is "partial 16S ribosomal RNA". It matches the Rfam family "Bacterial small subunit ribosomal RNA", at positions 524 to 776 of the family's 1533-position model. The record is from RNAcentral.
UACGAAGGGGACUAGCGUUGUUCGGAAUCAUUGGGCGUAAAGGGCGCGUAGGCGGUCGUGACAAGUCACUUGUGAAAUCUCCGGGCUUAACUCGGAACGGUCAAGUGAUACUGUCGGACUAGAGUACAGAAGGGGCAACUGGAAUUCUCGGUGUAGCGGUGAAAUGCGUAGAUAUCGAGAGGAACACCUGCGGCGAAGGCGGGUUGCUGGGCUGAUACUGACGCUGAGGCGCGAAAGCCAGGGGAGCGAACGGG